Molecule: non-coding RNA, 2093 nt
Organism: Zootoca vivipara (common lizard)
Lineage: Eukaryota; Metazoa; Chordata; Lepidosauria; Squamata; Lacertidae
Source: RefSeq, a predicted model, not a curated record
GAAAGACCUGUGGGAACGAAUGAGGCGUGGUUGUUUUUUAAAAUUAAAAAAAGAAGGGUGGGGGGAACCAGCAACCAGAAAAGGACUCUGUGUGUAGUGGGUUGAUCAGAGGAGCAGAUCGUCUGAGCUGCCAACAGCCAGCAGCCUUUCUAGCGGAAGAGGCUCAAGGUGGGAAUGUUUUGAGUCCUCCUCUGAGCCGCCUCUUAUCUGCCAUAGUGACAAGAGGGCAGUAAAAACCAGCUGGCAGCCAGGAAGGUCUUUCUCCCAUGACCCAGCAGGAAUGCAAGAACAGAGAGAGAAGGGGGUGUGGACAGAGAGCACUCAGUGGCAGGCCUUAUUUUAGCACUCGGUUAAAAGCAACCGGUGGGCAAAAGAUUGAGCUGUCGGUUUGGGGGGAGGGUGGACAGGACAAAGCAGAGACCUUAAUCAAAAUGAGCCAAGGACCUGUCUCUUCCAAAGGUCCGAGCAACAUGGCAAAACCUUUACAGCUUCCUCUGCAGUUGCAGGAUUCCCUGACUCUCUUCUACAGAGGAACAUUGGAACCACAGUGAAUGAGCAGGCUUCUUACUGGCCGCUGCACAAUGAGCGGUAGCUCAGCAAUGGAAGAACCAGCCUGAAAUGCCCCUCAAGAUAUGGGGAAAUAGUAUAUGGGGUACAGCAAUGUCUGAGCGACUCACUAGACACAGGAAGGCAAUUAAAGGCAUAACGAAUAGAGGCACCUUCCAAGAAACCUUUCUUGAACUAUGUGAAUGACUAAAAUCAAGACCUUCUUACACCAACUGCUCAAUAGUCUCAGUGGAGAGGUUAUGCUAAGUAAUCUGUUUGAAUGUUGAAUGUGUCAAACAAACACAGUUAGCUAUACUGCUGGAGGAUAUGUCUUUAGAAUAUUCCCAAAAUGGGUCUCUCCUAAAACCAGCACACACAACUUUUUGUGAGGCUAAAUACAAGAACAUAGGAACGACAAGCCUGGCUCGUCUCGCUCUGCCUUGGCCCAUCACGGCUCUCUUCAAGGUGUUUAAUGUACACCACUUAACUUGUUUUGCCAGUACAUUAACCACUUGGGAAUCGGUUCACACCCACUCCAACUUCUUUUUGCUGGAUCUCAUGUUUACGGCAUCUUAAAAAGCAGAGACAUCACCUUGCCGACAAAGGUCCGUAUAGUUAAAGCUAUGGUUUUCCCAGUAGUGAUGUAUGGAAGUGAGAGCUGGACCAUGAAGAAGGCUGAUCGCUGAAGAAUUGAUGCUUUUGAAUUAUGGUGCUGGAGGAGACUCUUGAGAGUCCCAUGGACUGCAAGAAGAUCAAACCUCUCCAUUCUGAAGGAAAUCAGCCCUGAGUGCUCCCUGGAAGGACGUGAAGCUGAGGCUCCAAUACUUUGGCCACCUCAUGAGAAGAGAAGAAUCCUUGGAAAAGACCCUGAUGUUGGGAAAGAUGGAGGGCACAAGGAGAAGGGGACGACAGAGGACGAGAUGGUUGGACAGUGUUCUCGAAGCUACGAACAUGAGUUUGACCAAACUGCGUGAGGCAGUGCAAGACAGGAGUGCCUGGCGUGCUCUGGUCCAUGGGGAAGACAUGACUAAACGACUAAACAUCAAAAAGUUUAUGGUGCUGUGACACAACCACCCCUUGCAUUCUGGUCUCACUUUAUGAGACAGAGAUCAGGUAACCUCAGGCCUCUCUCUGUCUGGUCACCAGAACUAGCCACACUCCUCCCUGGACCACAGCUCAGUGGUAGAGCAUCUGCUACCGGUACUUGCAACCAAGUGAAGAUGCCUGGGCACCAGGAUCUUGACUGUUUUCACACACUAAUGCCCCAUCCUGUAGAAUUCUAUCAGUUAUAUUUUAUCUGCACAAUUAGAAUGAAUUUCUGGAACCAAAAUGCUUUUUCUGUGCAGCCUGAACAGGAGCAGUCGCCAUUAAGAAAAAGAGGUCGAAAUAGGCCAAUAUAUAUACAGACUGUCCCUAGAUAAAGCGACUUUUCUUCUUUAAGUUCUCAGAGGUCUUAACUUAGCUCAGGGUUGUCAUCUGAACUAGCCAGAUGUUUAACUGAGAAUGAUUCACAGUAGGUUCAUCAUUUGAAAAAUAAAACUUUAGAG